CGCUGGCGGCGUGCUUAACACAUGCAAGUCGAACGGAACUCUUUGGAUCGAGGCUUCGGCCAAGUGAAUCUGAGUUUAGUGGCGGACGGGUGAGUAACGCGUGAGGAACCUGCCUUUCAGAGGGGGACAACAGUUGGAAACGACUGCUAAUACCGCAUAACAUAUAGAGAUCGCAUGGUCUUUAUAUCAAAGAUUUAUCGCUGAAAGAUGGCCUCGCGUCUGAUUAGCUAGUUGGUGAGGUAACGGCCCACCAAGGCGACGAUCAGUAGCCGGACUGAGAGGUUGACCGGCCACAUUGGGACUGAGAUACGGCCCAGACUCCUACGGGAGGCAGCAGUGGGGAAUAUUGGGCAAUGGGCGCAAGCCUGACCCAGCAACGCCGCGUGAAGGAAGAAGGCUUUCGGGUUGUAAACUUCUUUUGUCAGGGAAGAGUAGAAGACUGUACCUGGCGAAUAAGCCACGGCUAACUACGUG
RNAcentral lists this ribosomal RNA (474 nucleotides) under uncultured bacterium. Its description in RNAcentral is "bacterial SSU rRNA". It matches the Rfam family "Bacterial small subunit ribosomal RNA", at positions 34 to 507 of the family's 1533-position model. The record is from RNAcentral.